GACGAACGCUGGCGGCGUGCCUAAUACAUGCAAGUAGAACGCUGAAGGAGGAGCUUGCUCCUCUGGAUGAGUUGCGAACGGGUGAGUAACGCGUAGGUAACCUGCCUGGUAGCGGGGGAUAACUAUUGGAAACGAUAGCUAAUACCGCAUAAUAGCAGUUGUUGCAUGACAACUGUUUGAAAGGUGCAAUUGCACCACUACCAGAUGGACCUGCGUUGUAUUAGCUAGUUGGUGGGGUAACGGCUCACCAAGGCGACGAUACAUAGCCGACCUGAGAGGGUGAUCGGCCACACUGGGACUGAGACACGGCCCAGACUCCUACGGGAGGCAGCAGUAGGGAAUCUUCGGCAAUGGACGGAAGUCUGACCGAGCAACGCCGCGUGAGUGAAGAGGGUUUUCGGAUCGUAAAGCUCUGUUGUAAGAGAAGAACGAGUGUGAGAGUGGAAAGUUCACACUGUGACGGUAUCUUACCAGAAAGGGACGGCUAACUACGUG
RNAcentral lists this ribosomal RNA (495 nucleotides) under uncultured bacterium. RNAcentral's name for it is "partial 16S ribosomal RNA". It matches the Rfam family "Bacterial small subunit ribosomal RNA", at positions 28 to 507 of the family's 1533-position model. The record is from RNAcentral.